AUUUUACCAUGUUGUUCAAGCUGGACUUGAACUCUUGAAGCUCAAGUGAUCAUUCCACCUCUGGGUCCCAAAGUGCUGGGAUUAUAGGUGUGAGCCACCAU
Sapajus apella (tufted capuchin) is the source of this 101-nucleotide long non-coding RNA. RefSeq lists it as uncharacterized. The transcript is spliced from 3 exons. Lineage: Eukaryota; Metazoa; Chordata; Mammalia; Primates; Cebidae. The record is from RefSeq and is a predicted model, not a curated record.